UACAUGGGGUGCAAACGUUGCUCGGAAUUAUUGGGCGUAAAGCGCACGUAGGCGGUUCGUUAAGUCGGAUGUGAAAGCCCUCGGCUCAACUGAGGAAGUGCACCCGAAACUGGCGAGCUUGAGUACGAAAGAGGAUCGCGGAAUUCCCGGUGUAGAGGUGAAAUUCGUAGAUAUUGGGAAGAACACCGGUGGCGAAGGCGGCUCACUGGCUCAUUACUGACGCUCGAGGCGCGAUAGCGUGGGGAUCAAACAGG
This 254-nucleotide ribosomal RNA is filed under the name uncultured bacterium. RNAcentral's name for it is "partial 16S ribosomal RNA". It matches the Rfam family "Bacterial small subunit ribosomal RNA", at positions 524 to 776 of the family's 1533-position model. The record is from RNAcentral.